Molecule: ribosomal RNA, 492 nt
Filed under: uncultured bacterium
Lineage: Bacteria
Description: partial 16S ribosomal RNA
Rfam family: Bacterial small subunit ribosomal RNA
Source: RNAcentral
AGUGAACGCUGGCGGUAGGCCUAACACAUGCAAGUCGAACGGCGGCACAGUAAGAGCUUGCUCUUACGGGUGGCGAGUGGCGGACGGGUGAGGAAUACAUCGGAAUCUACUUUUUCGUGGGGGAUAACGUAGGGAAACUUACGCUAAUACCGCAUACGACCUACGGGUGAAAGCAGGGGAUCUUCGGACCUUGCGCGAUUGAAUGAGCCGAUGUCGGAUUAGCUAGUUGGCGGGGUAAAGGCCCACCAAGGCGACGAUCCGUAGCUGGUCUGAGAGGAUGAGCGGCAACACUGGGAAUGAGACACGGUCCAGACUCAUACGGGAGGCAGCAGUGGGGAAUAUUGGACAAUGGGCGCAAGCCUGAUCCAGCCAUACCGCGUGGGUGAAGAAGGCCUUCGGGUUGUAAAGCCCUUUUGUUGGGAAAGAAAAGCAGCAGGUUAAUACCCCGCUGUUCUGACGGUACCCAAAGAAUAAGCACCGGCUAACUUCGUG